GAUGAACGCUGGCGGCGUGCCUAAUACAUGCAAGUCGAGCGAACAGACGAGGAGCUUGCUCCUCUGACGUUAGCGGCGGACGGGUGAGUAACACGUGGAUAACCUACCUAUAAGACUGGGAUAACUUCGGGAAACCGGAGCUAAUACCGGAUAACAUGUUGAACCGCAUGGUUCAACAGUGAAAGACGGUCUUGCUGUCGCUUAUAGAUGGAUCCGCGCCGCAUUAGCUAGUUGGUAAGGUAACGGCUUACCAAGGCAACGAUGCGUAGCCGACCUGAGAGGGUGAUCGGCCACACUGGAACUGAGACACGGUCCAGACUCCUACGGGAGGCAGCAGUAGGGAAUCUUCCGCAAUGGGCGAAAGCCUGACGGAGCAACGUCGCGUGAGUGAAGAAGGUCUUCGGAUCGUAAAACUCUGUUAUUAGGGAAGAACAAAUGUGUAAGUAACUAUGCACGUCUUGACGGUACCUAAUCAGAAAGCCACGGCUAACUACGUG
This 497-nucleotide ribosomal RNA is filed under the name uncultured bacterium. RNAcentral's name for it is "partial 16S ribosomal RNA". It matches the Rfam family "Bacterial small subunit ribosomal RNA", at positions 28 to 507 of the family's 1533-position model. The record is from RNAcentral.